CAAUAUUGGGAAGGGAAGACGUCAAGAACUCAUACAAAUUAUAGUUAAUGAAUACAGAUUCGUCAGAAAGUUUUGGUGGAGCCUUAAUCGGACUCUGUUCUUCUCUUGCUUCUUGAAAUUCAUCAGAAGGUUUUAGGGGAGACUUCAUUGGACUCUGUUCUUCCCUUGCGUCAUGAAAUUCAUCAGGUUUUAGUGGAGACUUCAUUGGACUCUGUUCUUCUCUUGCUUCUUGAAAUUCAUCAGAGCUGGUACUCCUUCCAGAAACACAGUCCUUAUUCUCACUACAAAGUCUAAUUCUAGCAAUUUGCUUAUUGUUACUAUGAGUCCAAAUU
RNAcentral lists this long non-coding RNA (332 nucleotides) under Gossypium barbadense (sea-island cotton). RNAcentral's name for it is "long non-coding RNA (GBAR_LNC001132)". The record is from RNAcentral. Lineage: Eukaryota; Viridiplantae; Streptophyta; Magnoliopsida; Malvales; Malvaceae.